UAGAGUUUGAUCCUGGCUCAGGACGAACGCUGGCGGCGUGCUUAACACAUGCAAGUCGUGGGGGGGGAGAGGGCAACUUCUUCCUCACCGGCGAACGGGUGCGUAACACGUGAGCAACCUACCGAUGUCUGGGGGAUAGCCGGCCCAACGGCCGGGUAAUACCGCAUACGCUCAGUGAGAGGAGUCUCUUGCUGAGGAAACCUCCGGGGGAGAUCGAGGGGCUCGCGGCCUAUCAGCUAGUUGGCGAGGGUAAUGGCCCACCAAGGCGAUGACGGGUAGCUGGUCUGAGAGGAUGGCCAGCCACAUUGGGACUGAGAGACGGCCCAGACUCCUACGGGAGGCAGCAGUGGGGAAUCUUGCGCAAUGGUCGAAAGACUGACGCAGCGACGCCGCGUGCGGGA
This 401-nucleotide ribosomal RNA is filed under the name uncultured bacterium. RNAcentral describes it as "bacterial SSU rRNA". It matches the Rfam family "Bacterial small subunit ribosomal RNA", at positions 1 to 408 of the family's 1533-position model. The record is from RNAcentral.